This 492-nucleotide ribosomal RNA is filed under the name uncultured bacterium. RNAcentral describes it as "partial 16S ribosomal RNA". It matches the Rfam family "Bacterial small subunit ribosomal RNA", at positions 29 to 507 of the family's 1533-position model. The record is from RNAcentral.
AUUGAACGCUGGCGGCAUGCUUUACACAUGAAAGUCGAACGGUAACAGGCCUUCGGGUGCUGACGAGUGGCGAACGGGUGAGUAAUGCAUCGGAACGUACCCAGAGGUGGGGGAUAACGCAGCGAAAGCUGUGCUAAUACCGCAUGUGAUCUGAGGAUGAAAGCGGGGGACCGAGCAGCAAUGUUUGGCCUCGCGCCUUUGGAGCGGCCGAUGUCGGAUUAGCUAGUUGGUGGGGUAAAGGCCUACCAAGGCGACGAUCCGUAGCUGGUCUGAGAGGACGACCAGCCACACUGGGACUGAGACACGGCCCAGACUCCUACGGGAGGCAGCAGUGGGGAAUUUUGGACAAUGGGCGCAAGCCUGAUCCAGCAAUGCCGCGUGCGGGAAGAAGGCCUUCGGGUUGUAAACCGCUUUUGGCAGGAACGAAACGGUGUCCGCUAAUACCGGGCGCUAAUGACGGUACCUGCAGAAUAAGCACCGGCUAACUACGUG